Molecule: non-coding RNA, 46 nt
Organism: Trachymyrmex cornetzi
Lineage: Eukaryota; Metazoa; Arthropoda; Insecta; Hymenoptera; Formicidae
Source: Rfam
CAAUCGGCCCUUUUUAGGGCCAACCAUACACUUUGUAUGUACGACU